Molecule: ribosomal RNA, 253 nt
Filed under: uncultured bacterium
Lineage: Bacteria
Description: partial 16S ribosomal RNA
Rfam family: Bacterial small subunit ribosomal RNA
Source: RNAcentral
UACGUAGGUGGCAAGCGUUAUCCGGAAUUACUGGGCGUAAAGCGCACGCAGGCGGUCUUUUAAGUUUGACGUGAAAGCUCCCGGCUUAACUGGGAGAGGUCGUUGAAUACUGGAAGACUUGAGGCAAUGAGAGGGGUGUAGAAUUCCCGGUGUAGUGGUGGAAUGCGUAGAUAUCGGGGGGAAUACCAGUGGCGAAAGCGGCACCCUAGCGUUAGCCUGACGCUCAUGUGCGAAAGCGUGGGGAGCAAACGGG